RNAcentral lists this ribosomal RNA (504 nucleotides) under uncultured bacterium. Its description in RNAcentral is "bacterial SSU rRNA". It matches the Rfam family "Bacterial small subunit ribosomal RNA", at positions 1 to 524 of the family's 1533-position model. The record is from RNAcentral.
UAGAGUUUGAUCAUGGCUCAGAUUGAACGCUGGCGGCGUGCUUAACACAUGCAAGUCGAACGGUGAACCAGGGCUUGCCCUGGGGAUCAGUGGCGAACGGGUGAGUAACACGUGGGCAACCUGCCCCUGACUCUGGGAUAACUCCUCGAAAGAGGUGCUAAUACCGGAUACGACCACUUCGGGCAUCCGAUGGUGGUGGAAAGAAUUUUGGUCAGGGAUGGGCCCGCGGCCUAUCAGCUUGUUGGUGGGGUAACGGCCCACCAAGGCGACGACGGGUAGCCGGCCUGAGAGGGCGACCGGCCACACUGGGGCUGAGACACGGCCCAGACUCCUACGGGAGGCAGCAGUGGGGAAUAUUGCGCAAUGGGCGAAAGCCUGACGCAGCGACGCCGCGUGAGGGACGACGGCCUUCGGGUUGUAAACCUCUUUCAGCAGGGACGAAGCGAAAGUGACGGUACCUGCAGAAGAAGCACCGGCUAACUACGUGCCAGCAGCCGCGGUAAU